UACGGAGGGUGCAAGCGUUAUCCGGAUUCACUGGGUUUAAAGGGUGCGUAGGUGGGCAGUUAAGUCAGUGGUGAAAUCUCCGGGCUCAACCCGGAAACUGCCAUUGAUACUAUCUGUCUUGAAUAUCGUGGAGGUAAGCGGAAUAUGUCAUGUAGCGGUGAAAUGCUUAGAUAUGACAUAGAACACCAAUUGUGAAGGCAGCUUACUACCCGAAUAUUGACACUGAGGCACGAAAGCGUGGGGAUCAAACAGG
This 253-nucleotide ribosomal RNA is filed under the name uncultured bacterium. RNAcentral describes it as "partial 16S ribosomal RNA". It matches the Rfam family "Bacterial small subunit ribosomal RNA", at positions 524 to 776 of the family's 1533-position model. The record is from RNAcentral.